Molecule: long non-coding RNA, 489 nt
Organism: Tachysurus vachellii
Lineage: Eukaryota; Metazoa; Chordata; Actinopteri; Siluriformes; Bagridae
Exons: 3
Source: RefSeq, a predicted model, not a curated record
GGUUCUCAGGUUCAGGUUCUGCUGGACUCUGUGCUGUUUGGUGUAUUUUUCACUUUAAAUGGACCAGGAUUCAGGGAUCUGGAAUUUUCUCCUGUAUCAUUUGACUGUGCUGGAACAUGAGGAUCAGACUCCAGAGUCCAGAGUGACUGAACCGAUCAUUUUCACACUCCAUUAAAACCUGUUUUCUUUAUUCAUGAAUCAAAAGCCUUUGAAACUGGAGUAAAGUUACAAACAUGAUGCAGUAAAGGUUUACAGGAGCUUCAGAAAACUGUUUACAACCUAAAGUAAAUCAACUGUACAAACAUGUCCCAGAGUCACGUUAGACAGGAAAACUUCCAGAAAGUGUUUGUUUGACUCUGAAGUGAGGAAGAAGCUGAGGAAGCUGAGGAAGAUGAGGAAGAUGAGGAAGAUGCGUGUGUGUGUUUAAUCAGAGUGAUAACAUUUAGAGCCGCUCCAGAUCCAGAUCUUUAAACCAUUAAAACUCUUACA